RNAcentral lists this ribosomal RNA (485 nucleotides) under uncultured bacterium. RNAcentral describes it as "bacterial SSU rRNA". It matches the Rfam family "Bacterial small subunit ribosomal RNA", at positions 40 to 518 of the family's 1533-position model. The record is from RNAcentral.
CGACAGGCUUAACACAUGCAAGUCGAGGGGCAGCAUAAAAGUAGCAAUACUUGGUGGCGACCGGCGCACGGGUGAGUAACGCGUAUGCAACCUACCUAUCAGAGGGGAAUAACCCGGCGAAAGUCGGACUAAUACCGCAUAAAACAGGGGCACCGCAUGGUGAUAUUUGUUAAAGAAAUUCGCUGAUAGAUGGGCAUGCGUUCCAUUAGGUAGUUGGUGAGAUAACGGCUCACCAAGCCGACGAUGGAUAGGGGAACUGAGAGGUUGGUCCCCCACACUGGUACUGAGACACGGACCAGACUCCUACGGGAGGCAGCAGUGAGGAAUAUUGGUCAAUGGGCGAGAGCCUGAACCAGCCAAGUCGCGUGAAGGAAGAAGGAUCUAUGGUUCGUAAACUUCUUUUGCAGGGGAAUAAAGUGCAGGACGUGUCCUGUUUUGUAUGUACCCUGAGAAUAAGGAUCGGCUAACUCCGUGCCAGCCGCCGC